UACGAAGGGGGCUAGCGUUGUUCGGAAUUACUGGGCGUAAAGCGCGCGCAGGCGGUCCUUUAAGUCUGAUGUGAAAGCCCACGGCUCAACCGUGGAGGGUCAUUGGAAACUGGGGGACUUGAGUGCAGAAGAGAAGAGUGGAAUUCCACGUGUAGCGGUGAAAUGCGUAGAGAUGUGGAGGAACACCAGUGGCGAAGGCGACUCUUUGGUCUGUAACUGACGCUGAGGCGCGAAAGCGUGGGGAGCAAACAGG
RNAcentral lists this ribosomal RNA (253 nucleotides) under uncultured bacterium. Its description in RNAcentral is "partial 16S ribosomal RNA". It matches the Rfam family "Bacterial small subunit ribosomal RNA", at positions 524 to 776 of the family's 1533-position model. The record is from RNAcentral.